Molecule: ribosomal RNA, 468 nt
Filed under: uncultured bacterium
Lineage: Bacteria
Description: partial 16S ribosomal RNA
Rfam family: Bacterial small subunit ribosomal RNA
Source: RNAcentral
GACGAACGCUGGCGGCGUGCUUAACACAUGCCAGUCGAACGGAAAGGCCCUGCUUUUGUGGGGUGCUCGAGUGGCGAACGGGUGAGUAACACGUGAGUAACCUGCCCUUGACCUUGGGAUAACUUCAGGAAACUGGGGCUAAUACCGGAUAGGAGCUCCUGCUGCAUGGUGGGGGUUGGAAAGUUUCGGCGGUUGGGGAUGGACUCGCGGCUUAUCAGCUUGUUGGUGGGGUAGUGGCUUACCAAGGCUUUGACGGGUAGCCGGCCUGAGAGGGUGACCGGCCACAUUGGGACUGAGAUACGGCCCAGACUCCUACGGGAGGCAGCAGUGGGGAAUAUUGCACAAUGGGCGGAAGCCUGAUGCAGCAACGCCGCGUGCGGGAUGACGGCCUUCGGGUUGUAAACCGCUUUCGCCUGUGACGAAGCGUGAGUGACGGUAAUUGGUAAAGAAGCACCGGCUAACUACGUG